UACGGAGGAUCCAAGCGUUAUCCGGAUUUAUUGGGUUUAAAGGGUGCGUAGGCGGCCUGUUAAGUCAGAGGUGAAAGACGGUAGCUCAACUAUCGCAGUGCCUUUGAUACUGAUGGGCUUGAAUGGACUAGAGGUAGGCGGAAUGUGACAAGUAGCGGUGAAAUGCAUAGAUAUGUCACAGAACACCGAUUGCGAAGGCAGCUUACUAUGGUCCUAUUGACGCUGAGGCACGAAAGCGUGGGGAUCGAACAGG
This 253-nucleotide ribosomal RNA is filed under the name uncultured bacterium. RNAcentral describes it as "partial 16S ribosomal RNA". It matches the Rfam family "Bacterial small subunit ribosomal RNA", at positions 524 to 776 of the family's 1533-position model. The record is from RNAcentral.